GGGGCGCUGGCGCAACGGUAGCGCGUCAGAUUCCAGUAAAAGAUAAAGUUCAGGAAGUUAAUCACUUUCUAAGCUCUAUACGGGAUUCCUGAAGGUUUUCGGUUCAAAUCCGGAGUGCCUCA
Molecule: non-coding RNA, 122 nt
Organism: Gnomoniopsis sp. IMI 355080
Lineage: Eukaryota; Fungi; Ascomycota; Sordariomycetes; Diaporthales; Gnomoniaceae
Source: the annotation of a GenBank genome assembly